Xiphophorus hellerii (green swordtail) is the source of this 431-nucleotide long non-coding RNA. RefSeq lists it as uncharacterized. The transcript has 2 exons. Lineage: Eukaryota; Metazoa; Chordata; Actinopteri; Cyprinodontiformes; Poeciliidae. The record is from RefSeq and is a predicted model, not a curated record.
GCUACACUAUUCAAAUGCGCUCAGUGAAUGGUUCUUUUCGGGAUAGGUUUCGAUGGGCGUAGUUCGAAGCAUUCAAAUAAGGUGUGUACAGUGAGAAUUCUCAUUUCACUUGUGCGUUCUGCGAAAGAACAACGGUUUUUCGAUUUGCUACGAGCGGAGCUAACUCUAGCAAAAAUUAGCUCAACUGCAAUGGCGUGGAGGAAGAUGUCAGAUGUGGAGGCGCUGGAAGAAAUAUUUCGGAGCGAUGUUGAGCUGGAAGACUCUUCUGAUAGCUGGUGGGAUUCGGACGAGGAGGAAGAGGAAGAGCCGGACACAGCUGACAGACUUGAUCUCGGUGAUGUUCAAGUGGAAGCCGAACCAUCAAGCUCAGAUGGAGCUGAACCUCCCCCCACCUCUCAUGAUUCUUCAUCUUCUUUGAGGUAAGAUGUCCA